CCUACGGGUGGCAGCAGUGAGGAAUAUUGGUCAAUGGACGCGAGUCUGAACCAGCCAAGUAGCGUGAAGGCUGACUGCCCUAUGGGUUGUAAACUUCUUUUAUAUGGGAAUAAAAUGUUCCACGUGUGGGAUUUUGUAUGUACCAUAUGAAUAAGGAUCGGCUAACUCCGUGCCAGCAGCCGCGGUAAUACGGAGGAUCCGAGCGUUAUCCGGAUUUAUUGGGUUUAGAGGGAGCGUAGGUGGAUUGUUAAGGCAGUUGUGAAAGUUUGCGGCUCAACCGUAAAAUUGCAGUUGAUACUGGCAGUCUUGAGUACAGUAGAGGUGGGCGGAAUUCGUGGUGUAGCGGUGAAAUGCUUAGAUAUCACGAAGAACUCCGAUUGCGAAGGCAGUUCACUGGACUGCAACUGACACUGAGGCUCGAAAGUGUGGGUAUCAAACAGGAUUAGAUACCCGUGUAGUC
RNAcentral lists this ribosomal RNA (460 nucleotides) under uncultured bacterium. RNAcentral describes it as "partial 16S ribosomal RNA". It matches the Rfam family "Bacterial small subunit ribosomal RNA", at positions 338 to 795 of the family's 1533-position model. The record is from RNAcentral.